UACAGAGGGUGCAAACGUUGUUCGGAAUUACUGGGCGUAAAGCGCACGUAGGCGGAUUGCUAAGUCAGGGGUGAAAUCCUGGAGCUCAACUCCAGAACUGCCUUUGAUACUGGCGAUCUUGAGUCCGGGAGAGGUGAGUGGAACUGCGAGUGUAGAGGUGAAAUUCGUAGAUAUUGGGAAGAACACCGGUGGCGAAGGCGGCGACCUGGUCCUUUUACUGACGCUGAGGCGCAAAAGCGUGGGGAGCAAACAGG
RNAcentral lists this ribosomal RNA (254 nucleotides) under uncultured bacterium. RNAcentral's name for it is "partial 16S ribosomal RNA". It matches the Rfam family "Bacterial small subunit ribosomal RNA", at positions 524 to 776 of the family's 1533-position model. The record is from RNAcentral.